Molecule: ribosomal RNA, 497 nt
Filed under: uncultured bacterium
Lineage: Bacteria
Description: partial 16S ribosomal RNA
Rfam family: Bacterial small subunit ribosomal RNA
Source: RNAcentral
GAUGAACGCUGGCGGCGUGCCUAAUACAUGCAAGUCGAGCGAACAGACGAGGCGCUUGCUCCUCUGACGUUAGCGGCGGACGGGUGAGUAACACGUGGAUAACCUACCUAUAAGACUGGGAUAACUUCGGGAAACCGGAGCUAAUACCGGAUAAUAUAUUGAACCGCAUGGUUCAAUAGUGAAAGACGGUUUUGCUGUCACUUAUAGAUGGAUCCGCGCCGCAUUAGCUAGUUGGUAAGGUAACGGCUUACCAAGGCAACGAUGCGUAGCCGACCUGAGAGGGUGAUCGGCCACACUGGAGCGGAGACACGGUCCAGACUACUACGGGAGGCAGCAGUAGGGAAUCUUCCGCAAUGGGCGAAAGCCUGACGGAGCAACGCCGCGUGAGUGAUGAAGGUCUUCGGAUCGUAAAACUCUGUUAUUAGGGAAGAACAAAUGUGUAAGUAACUAUGCACGUCUUGACGGUACCUAAUCAGAAAGCCACGGCUAACUACGUG